GGCCAGGGUCGGUGCAACAAUGAGAGCUCCUUGUUGCGGUCCAUCGUCCGCUGACAGAUCGAUCGAGGGCCUCGCGCGCUGCAAGAAGAUGGCCGCCGAUCGGAGGCUGCGCACGCCCUGCGCGUCCCAGAGUUGCUAGAAGCAGAAUCCGACGGCGCGGAGACGGAGGUCCAGCCAGACCGUCGGCAAAAAUCCGUCGGCAAAUCCGCUACGUGGAGAAACGUCGAAUCUCUCGAAACCGCGAUACCGAAGAAGUGCAUCAUUUCGGCGCCAUGGUGCCGAGCCACUCCACCAUUUUGUACCGCUAUGCGCCAUGCAGCCUCGGGCUGGACCCCUCGAAAGACAGCGCCCAUUGCAGCACCGGUUUGGAUGCUGCAUGGGCGUCGAGACGCCUCUCGCGUGGCGAGAAAAACUCGCGCUUAUGCCUACAAAUAACGCCCCGAAGUAAAAUAUUUCCUCCCCCUCCCCCCCAAA
Orussus abietinus is the source of this 474-nucleotide RNA transcript. RefSeq lists it as uncharacterized. The transcript has 2 exons. The record is from RefSeq and is a predicted model, not a curated record. Lineage: Eukaryota; Metazoa; Arthropoda; Insecta; Hymenoptera; Orussidae.